CCUACGGGAGGCAGCAGUGAGGAAUAUUGGUCAAUGGGCGCAAGCCUGAACCAGCCAAGUCGCGUGCAGGAUGACUGCCCUACGGGUUGUAAACUUCUUUUGUAAGGGAGUAAAGUGCGGCACGUGUGCCUUUUUGUAUGUACUUUAUGAAUAAGGAUCGGCUAACUCCGUGCCAGCAGCCGCGGUAAUACGGAGGAUCCGAGCGUUAUCCGGAUUUAUUGGGUUUAAAGGGAGCGUAGAUGGGUUGUUAAGUCAGUUGUGAAAGUUUGCGGCUCAACCGUAAAAUUGCAAUUGAUACUGGCAGUCUUGAGUACAGUUGAGGUAGGCGGAAUGCGUGGUGUAGCGGUGAAAUGCUUAGAUAUCACGAAGAACACCGAUUGCGAAGGCAGCUUACUAAACUGCAACUGACAUUGAUGCUCGAAAGUGUGGGUAGCAAACAGGAUUAGAUACCCGUGUAGUC
This 460-nucleotide ribosomal RNA is filed under the name uncultured bacterium. RNAcentral's name for it is "partial 16S ribosomal RNA". It matches the Rfam family "Bacterial small subunit ribosomal RNA", at positions 338 to 795 of the family's 1533-position model. The record is from RNAcentral.